Molecule: ribosomal RNA, 572 nt
Filed under: uncultured bacterium
Lineage: Bacteria
Description: bacterial SSU rRNA
Rfam family: Bacterial small subunit ribosomal RNA
Source: RNAcentral
UUAGAUAGUUGGUGAGGUAACGGCUCACCAAGUCCACGAUGGAUAGGGGUUCUGAGAGGAAGGUCCCCCACACUGGUACUGAGACACGGACCAGACUCCUACGGGAGGCAGCAGUGAGGAAUAUUGGUCAAUGGGCGAGAGCCUGAACCAGCCAAGUCGCGUGAAGGAUGAAGGAUCUAUGGUUUGUAAACUUCUUUUAUAUGGGAAUAAAGUGAGGAACGUGUUCCUUUUUGUAUGUACCAUAUGAAUAAGCAUCGGCUAACUCCGUGCCAGCAGCCGCGGUAAUACGGAGGAUGCGAGCGUUAUCCGGAUUUAUUGGGUUUAAAGGGUGCGUAGGUGGUUAAUUAAGUCAGCGGUGAAAGUUUGUGGCUCAACCAUAAAAUUGCCGUUGAAACUGGUUGACUUGAGUAUAUUUGAGGUAGGCGGAAUGCGUGGUGUAGCGGUGAAAUGCAUAGAUAUCACGCAGAACUCCGAUUGCGAAGGCAGCUUACUAAACUAUAACUGACACUGAAGCACGAAAGCGUGGGGAUCAAACAGGAUUAGAUACCCUGGUAGUCCACGCAGUAAACGAU